RNAcentral lists this transfer RNA (72 nucleotides) under Camelus bactrianus (Bactrian camel). It matches the Rfam family "tRNA". Rfam says of the family: Transfer RNA (tRNA) molecules are approximately 80 nucleotides in length. Their secondary structure includes four short double-helical elements and three loops (D, anti-codon, and T loops). RNAcentral also lists the same sequence under 2 other names. The record is from Rfam by way of RNAcentral. Lineage: Eukaryota; Metazoa; Chordata; Mammalia; Artiodactyla; Camelidae.
UGGGGUAUAGCUCAGUGGUAAAGUGGGUGCCUGGCAUGCAAGAGGUCCUGUGUUCAAUUCUUAGUGCCUCUG